UCCGGUGUGCUUACCAUGUUACGAGAGGACGUUAUGCCAC
RNAcentral lists this transfer RNA (40 nucleotides) under Colostethus sp. QCAZ16503. RNAcentral's name for it is "partial tRNA-Phe". Lineage: Eukaryota; Metazoa; Chordata; Amphibia; Anura; Dendrobatidae. The record is from RNAcentral.